Molecule: ribosomal RNA, 480 nt
Filed under: Myriangium citri
Lineage: Eukaryota; Fungi; Ascomycota; Dothideomycetes; Myriangiales; Myriangiaceae
Description: eukaryotic LSU rRNA
Rfam family: Eukaryotic large subunit ribosomal RNA
Source: RNAcentral
GCUCAAAUUUGAAAUCUGACGUCUUUGGCGUCCGAGUUGUAAUUUGGAGAGGAUGUUUUUGGGUGUCCGCCGGCCUAAGUCCCUUGGAACAGGGCGUCAUAGAGGGUGAGAAUCCCGUAUGUGGUCGGAAAGGUACCCUCCGUAAAACUCCUUCGACGAGUCGGGUUGUUUGGGAAUGCAGCCCUAAAUGGGAGGUAAAUUUCUUCUAAAGCUAAAUACCGGCCAGAGACCGAUAGCGCACAAGUAGAGUGAUCGAAAGAUGAAAAGCACUUUGGAAAGAGAGUUAAACAGCACGUGAAAUUGUUGAAAGGGAAGCGCUUGCAAUCAGUCUCGACGGUAGCCGUUCGGCCUCUCUUCUGAGUGGUUUAUUCGGUUGCCGCCGGGCCAGCAUCAGUUUCGGCGGUUGGAUAAAGAAGGUGGGAAUGUGGCCCCUCUCGGGGGGUGUUAUAGCCCACUUUGUAAUACAAUCAGCCGGGACUG